Molecule: ribosomal RNA, 300 nt
Filed under: uncultured Streptomyces sp.
Lineage: Bacteria; Bacillati; Actinomycetota; Actinomycetes; Kitasatosporales; Streptomycetaceae
Description: bacterial SSU rRNA
Rfam family: Bacterial small subunit ribosomal RNA
Source: RNAcentral
GGUAGCUCCGUGCCGGCGGCGUCGGUAAUACGUUGGGGGCAAUGGUUAAUUGGAGUUACUUGUGGUAAAUGGUGCUUAUGUUGUGUGGUAAGCGAUAUUGGAAAGCCUCGGGCUUAACCUGGGAAUUGCAUGUCGAACUGGCAAGCGAGAGUACGGUAGAGGGUAGUGGAAUUUCCGGUGUAGCGUGGAAAUGCGUAGAGAUCGGAAGGAACAUCAGUGGCGAAGGCGACUACCUGGACUGAUACUGACACUGAGGUGCGAAAGCGUGGGGAGCAAACAGGAUUAGAUACCCGUGUAGUC